UUACCUGAAAUUUGUAUGCAGCUGGAACAGUGCCCCUAGCGGCAAACAUAGGCAAAAGUUCCAACUCCAUACAAAUUUGACUUA
Molecule: microRNA precursor, 84 nt
Filed under: Bombyx mori (domestic silkworm)
Lineage: Eukaryota; Metazoa; Arthropoda; Insecta; Lepidoptera; Bombycidae
Description: mir-2807 microRNA precursor family
Rfam family: mir-2807 microRNA precursor family
Source: Rfam by way of RNAcentral